GACGAACGCUGGCGGCGUGCCUAAUACAUGCAAGUCGAACGCUGAAGGAGGAGCUUUCUUCUCUGGAUGAGUGGCGAACGGGUGAGUAACGCGUAGGUAACCUGCCUGUUAGCUGGGGAUAACUAUUGGAAACGAUGGCUAAUACCGCAUAAUAGUAGAUGUUGCAUGACAUUUGCUGAAAAGUUGCAAUUGCAUCACUACCAGAUGGACCUGCGUUGUAUUAGCUAGUGGGUGGGGUAACGGCUCACCAAGGCGACGAGACAUAGCCGACCUGAGAGGGGGAUCGGCCAGACUGGGAGUGAGACACGGCCCAGACUCCUACGGGUGGCAGCAGUAGGGAAUCUUCGGCAAUGGACGGAAGUCUGACCGAGCAACGCCGAGGGCGUGAAGAAGGUUGUCGGAUCGUAAAGCUCUGUUGUAAGAGAAGAACGAGUGUGAGAGUGGAAAGUUCACACUGUGACGGUAUCUUACAAGAAAGGGACGGCUAACUACGUG
RNAcentral lists this ribosomal RNA (495 nucleotides) under uncultured bacterium. Its description in RNAcentral is "partial 16S ribosomal RNA". It matches the Rfam family "Bacterial small subunit ribosomal RNA", at positions 28 to 507 of the family's 1533-position model. The record is from RNAcentral.